Malus domestica (apple) is the source of this 337-nucleotide non-coding RNA. NCBI's taxonomy places the organism in Eukaryota, Viridiplantae, Streptophyta, Magnoliopsida, Rosales, Rosaceae. The record is from RefSeq and is a predicted model, not a curated record.
AAUGUACUACCGUGAUGUAUUGCAGCUAUAGCCACGAUUCUUUGUGCUACUACCUGCAAACCCCGACUCCAGAGAAAAAGCAAGAUUUUCAAAACCCUAAUCCCCAAAUGGCCAGCUAUUCCAAACCCUAAUUUCUGCGAUUCAGUUCAUCCAGGAAAAAGUUUGUUAGUAGAUCAUGAGGACCAAACAACCGUGCAGGGGAAGAGGAAGGCCACGGAAAACGCCAAAUGUGGUGAGUGAAAGAGUGGUGAGUGAGAGGGUGGUCAGCGAGCGAGUGGUCAAUGAGAACGAAAACGCAUUCUUGAAUUUUGUAAAUCACAAUACUCACAAUGUUGAA